Molecule: ribosomal RNA, 1316 nt
Filed under: human gut metagenome
Description: bacterial LSU rRNA
Rfam family: Bacterial large subunit ribosomal RNA
Source: RNAcentral
CGGCAAGGUUAAGUACCACAGGUACGGAGCCGAAGGGAAACCAAGUCUUAAUAGGGCGAGAAGUCAGCAUACGCAGACCCGAAACCGGGUGAUCUAUCCAUGUCCAGGUUGAAGUUGCCGUAAAAGGCAAUGGAGGACCGAACCCACAUCCGUUGAAAAGGGUGGGGAUGAGGUGUGGAUAGGGGAGAAAUUCCAAUCGAACCCGGAGAUAGCUGGUUCUCCUCGAAAUAGCUUUAGGGCUAGCCUCGGUCGCGAGUCUUGUGGAGGUAGAGCACUGAAUUUCCGCGGGGGCGUCAAAGCUUACCAAAGAAUAUCAAACUCCGAAUGCCAUGUAGAUGAUGAAUGGGAGUCAGACUGCACGAGAUAAGUUGGGUGGUCAAAAGGGAAAGAGCCCAGACCUACAGCUAAGGUCCCAAAGUGCGUGUUAAGUGGAAAAGGAUGUGGGAUUUCGAAGACAACUAGGAUGUUGGCUCAGAAGCAGCCAUACAUUCAAAGAGUGCGUAAUAGCUCACUAGUCGAGAGGUCCUGCGCCGAAAAUGUCCGGGGCUGAAACACGACACCGAAGCUUAGGAAUCACAUAGUGAUUGGUAGAGGAGCAUUCUUAAAACCGACGAAGCUGUACCGGAAGGAGCAGUGGAGGGAUAAGAAGAGAGAAUGCCGGAAUGAGUAGCGAGAGGAAGGUGGGAAUCCUUCCGGCCGAAUAUCUAAGGUUUCCAGAGUAAAGCUGAUCUGCUCUGGGUAAGUCGGGGCCUAAGGCGAGGUCGAAAGACGUAGUCGAUGGAUAACAGGUGGAGAUUCCUGUACUAUGUGUACCCAGAAAUGUGGGGACGCAUGUGGAGAGCACGAGCCGGGAAAGAGAAGACCGGUACAAGCGGGGUAGGAGUAAGGACAGCAAAUCUUCCUUACAAUCCGAAGACGUAAUGUGGACCGAACCAAAGUAGGGAAGCGUGUGAGCCAUGUGCCAAGAAAAGCCGCUAUAGUGAUACACAUACCCGUACCGUAAACCGACACAGGUGGAUGAGGAGAGAAUCCUAAGGCCGACGGAAGAAGCAUUGUUAAGGAACUCGGCAAAAUGACCCCGUAACUUCGGGAGAAGGGGUGCCUGCGAAAUCAGGCCGCAGAGAAUAGGCUCAAGCAACUGUUUAGCAAAAACACAGGUCUAUGCGAAACCGAAAGGUGAGGUAUAUGGGCUGACGCCUGCCCGGUGCUGGAAGGUUAAGAGGAGAGGUUAGCGCAAGCGAAGCUUUGAAUUUAAGCCCCAGUAAACGGCGGCCGUAACUAUAACGGUCCUAAGGUAGCGAAAUUCCUUGUCGGGU